GAAAUGCGAUAAGUAAUGUGAAUUGCAGAAUACAGUGAAUCAUCGAAUAUUUGAACGCACCUUGCGCUCCUUGGUAUUACUUGGAGCAUGCCUGUUUGAGUAUCAUGAAAUCUUCAAAGUAAAUCUUUUGUUAACUCAAUUGGUUUCUACUUUGGUAUUGGAGGUCUUUGCAGCUUCACACCUGCUCCUCUUUGUUCAUUAGCUGGAUCUCAGUGUUAUGCUUGGUUCCACUCGGCGUGAUAAGUUAUCUAUCGCUGAGGACACUGUAAAAGGUGGCCAAGGUAAAUGCAGAUGAACCGCUUCUAAUAGUCCAUUGACUUGGACAAUACUUUUAUGAUCUUAUCUCAAAUCAGGUAGGACUACCCGCUGAACUUAAGC
Molecule: unclassified non-coding RNA, 378 nt
Filed under: plant metagenome
Description: partial contains 5.8S ribosomal RNA, internal transcribed spacer 2, and large subunit ribosomal RNA
Rfam family: 5.8S ribosomal RNA (bases 1-105)
Source: RNAcentral